UCUCAAGCAUAAUAAGGGCAUCUGGUGGAUGCCUUGGCGUCAAGAGGCGAUGAAAGACGUGGCACUCUGCGAUAAGCUACGGUGAGCCGAGAGCAGGCUUUGACCCGUAGAUUUCUGAAUGGGGAAACCCCACCCAAUAGGGUGAUCCUGUCGUGAAUACAUAGCGGCAGGAGGCGAACCCGGUGAACUGAAACAUCUCAGUAACCGGAGGAAAGGACAUCAACCGAGACUUCGCUAGUAGCGGCGAGCGAACGCGAACCAGGCCAGUGGCUUAUGCAUAAGAACCGGAACGAUCUGGAAAGGUCGGCCAUAGUGGGUGAUAGCCCCGUACGGGUAGAAAAUGCAUAAGUCCUCGAGUAGGACGGGACACGUGAAAUCCUGUCUGAACAUGGGGGGACCACCCUCCAAGCCUAAGUACUCCUUGACGACCGAUAGUGUACCAGUACCGUGAGGGAAAGGUGAAAAGCACCCCGAUAAGGGGAGUGAAAUAGUUCCUGAAACCGGAUGCCUACAAGCAGUUGGAGCCUCUUUAUGGGGUGACAGCGUACCUCUUGCAUAAUGGGUCAGCGAGUUAGUCUUACAAGCAAGCUUAAGCCGAUAGGUGUAGGCGCAGCGAAAGCGAGUCUUAAUAGGGCGAUUGAGUUUGUGGGAUUAGACCCGAAACCAGGUGAUCUAGCCAUGAGCAGGUUGAAGGUGAUGUAACAGUCACUGGAGGACCGAACCCACGUCUGUUGAAAAAGACGGGGAUGACUUGUGGUUAGGGGUGAAAGGCCAAUCAAACCUGGAGAUAGCUGGUUCUCCGCGAAAUCUAUUUAGGUAGAGCGUCAGACGAAUACCAUCGGGGGUAGAGCACUGAAUGGGCUAGGGGGCCUUACCGGCUUACCAAACCUAAUCAAACUCCGAAUACCGAUGAGUACUAUCUGGCAGACAGACUACGGGUGCUAAGGUCCGUGGUCGAGAGGGAAACAGCCCAGACCGCCAGUUAAGGUCCCAAAGUUGUGGCUAAGUGGGAAAGGAUGUAGGACGGCCAAGACAACCAGGACGUUGGCUUAGAAGCAGCCAUCGUUUAAAGAAAGCGUAACAGCUCACUGGUCUAAAUAAGCUGUCCCGCGCCGAAGAUGUACCGGGGCUCAAGCCACACACCGAAACUGCGGACUUGUUCUUUGAACAAGUGGUAGCGGAGCGUUCCGUAAGCCUGUGAAGGUGAACCGUAAGGUUUGCUGGAGGUAUCGGAAGCGAGAAUGCUGACAUGAGUAGCGAUAAAGGGAGUGAGAACCUCCCUCGCCGAAAGCCCAAGGGUUCCUGCGCAAGGCCAAUCCGCGCAGGGUGAGUCGGCCCCUAAGACGAGGCAGAAAUGCGUAGUCGAUGGGAAACAGGUUAAUAUUCCUGUACCCGUGAGAAGUGACGGCCUCUGGAAGUAGUUUUUCCUUAUUGGAUUGGAGAAGCUGCCAAGGAGGUCCAGGAAAUAACUCUCACAUAUGGACCGUACCCCAAACCGACACAGGUGGGCAGGUUGAAUAUACCAAGGCGCUUGAGAGAAUGGUGUUGAAGGAACUCGGCAAAUUGCCCCCGUAACUUCGGGAGAAGGGGGCCCACCGUGAAGGCAACUUUACGGUGGGGGCACAGACUAGGGGGUGGCGACUGUUUACUAAAAACACAGGGCUCUGCGAAGUCGCAAGACGACGUAUAGGGUCUGACGCCUGCCCGGUGCCGGAAGGUUAAGAGGAGAUGUGCAAGCAUUGAAUUGAAGCCCCGGUAAACGGCGGCCGUAACUAUAACGGUCCUAAGGUAGCGAAAUUCCUUGUCGGGUAAGUUCCGACCUGCACGAAUGGCGUAACGACUUCCCCACUGUCUCCAACACCAACUCAGCGAAAUUGAAUUCUCCGUGAAGAUGCGGAGUACCCGCGGUCAGACGGAAAGACCCCGUGCACCUUUACUACAGCUUUGCAGUGGUAUCAGGAUGUGAAUGUGCAGAAUAGGUGGGAGGCUUUGAAGCCAUGGCGCCAGCCAUGGUGGAGCCACCUUUGAGAUACCACCCUUUUGCUUCCUGAUAUCUAACCGAGGUCCGUUAUCCGGAUCCGGGACCCUGCAUGGCGGGUAGUUUGACUGGGGCGGUCGCCUCCCAAAGAGUAACGGAGGCGCGCGAUGGUAGGCUCAGGCUGGUCGGACAUCAGCUUAAGAGUGCAAUGGCAAAAGCCUGCCUGACUGCGAGACUGACAAGUCGAGCAGAGACGAAAGUCGGUCAUAGUGAUCCGGUGGUCCCGCGUGGAAGGGCCAUCGCUCAACGGAUAAAAGGUACGCCGGGGAUAACAGGCUGAUACUCCCCAAGAGUCCACAUCGACGGGAGUGUUUGGCACCUCGAUGUCGGCUCAUCACAUCCUGGGGCUGGAGCAGGUCCCAAGGGUUUGGCUGUUCGCCAAUUAAAGUGGUACGUGAGCUGGGUUUAGAACGUCGUGAGACAGUUCGGUCCCUAUCUGCCGUGGGCGUAGGAUACUUGAGAAGAGCUGUCCCUAGUACGAGAGGACCGGGAUGGACGCACCUCUGGUGUACCGGUUGUUCCGCCAGGAGCAUCGCCGGGUAGCUAAGUGCGGAAGGGAUAACCGCUGAAAGCAUCUAAGCGGGAAGCCCCCUUCAAGACUAGGUAUCCCUAUCAGAUCCCUGGAAGACCACCAGGUUGAUAGGCUGGGUGUGGAAGCGUGGCAACACGUGAAGCUAACCAGUACUAAUUGAUCGAUCGGCUUGAUUGAUCCC
This 2751-nucleotide ribosomal RNA is filed under the name Thalassospira indica. RNAcentral describes it as "bacterial LSU rRNA". It matches the Rfam family "Bacterial large subunit ribosomal RNA". Lineage: Bacteria; Pseudomonadati; Pseudomonadota; Alphaproteobacteria; Rhodospirillales; Thalassospiraceae. The record is from RNAcentral.